Molecule: long non-coding RNA, 943 nt
Organism: Carya illinoinensis
Lineage: Eukaryota; Viridiplantae; Streptophyta; Magnoliopsida; Fagales; Juglandaceae
Exons: 2
Source: RefSeq, a predicted model, not a curated record
UUAGAAAAACCACGUCGUUUUCUAAUUUUAAUUCCCAAAUAAAGAAGACGCGGUAGGUUCGAAAACAAUUAAAAAACCUUCAUUCCCCCAACGAUAAUUGAUUUUUCUCCAUCCCCAUCGUCUUCCUCACCAAGCCAGCCUCCAAAUCUCUUGUGAAAUCUCGCAUCUCCCCACGAAGCUAGCCUCUAUCCCCAUAACCCUCUUCACCGUCCCCAUUGUCUUCCCCACGAAGCCACAACCCAGUCAACCAACAUCUUCUCCUCAAACCCAUGAACCUCAAGGUUUCCAACCCACGAACCGGAGCACGAAGCCUCAACCAACCCAGCCAACCUACGUCUUCUCCUUGAACCCACGAACCUCAAGUCAUAACCUCUUGCUUUAGUAGGACUUCAGAGGGCAAGGUAGAGCUAACAACAUUAUCCUGUUCAGAUGAUGACCAAUUCGAUGGUAUGGCAAAAGAAGAUGAAGCAUGCUGAACUGUUAGCAAGAUAACUCAAUGCGGGCCCCAGCAGCAACUGCUGUUACUCUCAAUGCAGAAUUUGAACCAAGAGUAGGCUUUGUUUUAGGUUUAAUGGAGGAUUGAGCUUUUGGUAUAGAACCCAAUGCCCAAUGGUAGAGGAUUUUGUAGCGUUGGAGCAUUCAUAAGGCUGGUCUUGGACUUGUAAAAUGCUGCUGGAAAGAGCAGUAGGAAGAAGCACAGAGUUGUUGGUUGUAUUCAUACCAGCAAUUGCAAAUUCAAGAACAGAUCAUUCAAGUUUUAAACAAGCACAUAAAAUUAAUUGUGUUAGAAAAGGCAAGCAAUAAAUCAUGUACUAGCAUUUGUAUUGGACAUGCCACUAAGUAAUUAUUCUAACAUAUUUUGGUGUUUUGAGAACUAUGAUUGCCUGAAUACUCGUUUAUAUUUUUAUUUUAUAAAUCUGAUAUAGCAUGUUUUCCAGUGUUA